This is a long non-coding RNA of Astyanax mexicanus (Mexican tetra), 665 nucleotides long. RefSeq lists it as uncharacterized. Lineage: Eukaryota; Metazoa; Chordata; Actinopteri; Characiformes; Acestrorhamphidae. The record is from RefSeq and is a predicted model, not a curated record. The transcript has 3 exons.
UCCAGUGAUAUACUCUAUAACCUCAACCAGUUUACCCACUUCCACCACUAGAACAACACCUGCAGAGAGAACUGAAACCUCAACCACCACAACAGUGGAGCGCUCAGCUAAAGAGUUCUGGAUGGUGUUCGUAGCUGUGGGCAGUGUUCUUCUGCUGUUAGCGUUAGCGUCUCUUCUCUCAACAAAGUGUUUCCCAAAGAAGAACGCAGAAGAGGAUGAUGUACCGUCUGGAGAUGUCUACACCACGAUUGAAUAUGUCAAUAUUAUAAAAUCCUAAUCAAGUAGAUAACGGAUUUUAAGGAGAUACACUGGAAGCACUGGGCUCAUUUAAACACCUCCUUAUACCUGUGUUUUACUCUCUUUUUUAACUGUUUUAACUGCAGAAAAUGAGAAAUGACUGAAAUAACAAAAAAGAUGCAGAGCUUUCAGACCUCAAAUAAGGCAAAGAAAACAAGUUCAUAUUCAUAAAGUUUUAAGAGUUCAGAAAUAAUCAAUAUUUGGUGGAAUAACCCUGGUUGGUUUUUAAUCAGUUUUUUUCAUGCAUCUUGGCAUCAUGUUCUCCUCCACCAGUCUUACACACUGCUUUUGGAUAACUGUAUGCUGCUUGUGAUCAUCCAUCUUCCUCUUGAUUAUAUUCCAGAGGUUUUUAAAUUGAUAAAAACAAA